AUUAAGAUGUCUGAAUAAAAGUAAUAAACUGUAAAUUUAUCAAUGGAAAUAUAUUCCUCUUAAUA
RNAcentral lists this transfer RNA (65 nucleotides) under Evacanthus heimianus. RNAcentral's name for it is "tRNA-Tyr". RNAcentral also lists the same sequence under 2 other names. Lineage: Eukaryota; Metazoa; Arthropoda; Insecta; Hemiptera; Cicadellidae. The record is from RNAcentral.